This 52-nucleotide transfer RNA is filed under the name Habronattus oregonensis. RNAcentral's name for it is "tRNA-Ile". Lineage: Eukaryota; Metazoa; Arthropoda; Arachnida; Araneae; Salticidae. The record is from RNAcentral.
AUUAAGGUGCCUGACUAAAGGGUUAAUUUGAUAGAUUAAAUAAAGUUAGAUU